RNAcentral lists this ribosomal RNA (198 nucleotides) under Akanthomyces lecanii. Its description in RNAcentral is "5.8S ribosomal RNA". The stretch from base 3 to 157 matches the Rfam family "5.8S ribosomal RNA". From Rfam's summary of the family: 5.8S ribosomal RNA (5.8S rRNA) is a component of the large subunit of the eukaryotic ribosome. It is transcribed by RNA polymerase I as part of the 45S precursor that also contains 18S and 28S rRNA. Lineage: Eukaryota; Fungi; Ascomycota; Sordariomycetes; Hypocreales; Cordycipitaceae. The record is from RNAcentral.
AAAACUUUCAACAACGGAUCUCUUGGCUCUGGCAUCGAUGAAGAACGCAGCGAAAUGCGAUAAGUAAUGUGAAUUGCAGAAUUCAGUGAAUCAUCGAAUCUUUGAACGCACAUUGCGCCCGCCAGCAUUCUGGCAGGGCAUGCCUGUUCGAGCGUCAUUUCAACCCUCGACCUCCCCUCGGGGAAGUCGGCGUUGGGG